Molecule: ribosomal RNA, 252 nt
Filed under: uncultured bacterium
Lineage: Bacteria
Description: partial 16S ribosomal RNA
Rfam family: Bacterial small subunit ribosomal RNA
Source: RNAcentral
ACGGAGGGGGCUAGCGUUGUUCGGAAUUACUGGGCGUAAAGCGCACGUAGGCGGCGAUUUAAGUCAGGGGUGAAAGCCCAGUGCUCAACACUGGAACUGCCCUUGAGACUGGAUUGCUUGAAUCCGGGAGAGGUGAGUGGAAUUCCGAGUGUAGAGGUGAAAUUCGUAGAUAUUCGGAAGAACACCAGUGGCGAAGGCGGCUCACUGGACCGGCAUUGACGCUGAGGUGCGAAAGCGUGGGGAGCAAACAGG